This is a non-coding RNA of Dallia pectoralis (Alaska blackfish), 71 nucleotides long. Lineage: Eukaryota; Metazoa; Chordata; Actinopteri; Esociformes; Umbridae. The record is from the annotation of a GenBank genome assembly.
GAGUUGGUAUCUCAGUGGUAGAGUGCAUGCUCUGUAUGUAUGAUGUCCUGGCUUUGAUCCCAGGCUUCUCU